CCUACGGGUGGCAGCAGUGAGGAAUAUUGGUCAAUGGGCGGAAGCCUGAACCAGCCAAGUCGCGUGAGGGAUUAAGGCCCUGCGGGUCGUAAACCUCUUUUGCCGGGGAGCAGAGGUCCGGACGUGUCCGGGCCGGGAGAGCACCCGGAGAAAAAGCAGCGGCCAACCCCGUGCCAGCAGCCGCGGUAAUACGGAGGAUGCGAGCGUUACCCGGAUUUAUUGGGUUUAAAGGUUGCGUAGGCGGGCAUUUAAGCCGGCGGUCAAAUGUCGGGGCUCAACCCCGGCCUGCCGUCGGAACUGGGUGCCUUGAGUGGGCGAGAAGUAUGCGGAAUGCGUGGUGUAGCGGUGAAAUGCAUAGAUAUCACGCAGAACCCCGAUUGCGAAGGCAGCAUACCGGCGCCCUACUGACGCUGAGGCACGAAAGUGCGGGUAUCGAACAGGAUUAGAUACCCUUGUAGUC
RNAcentral lists this ribosomal RNA (460 nucleotides) under uncultured bacterium. RNAcentral's name for it is "partial 16S ribosomal RNA". It matches the Rfam family "Bacterial small subunit ribosomal RNA", at positions 338 to 795 of the family's 1533-position model. The record is from RNAcentral.